UAACGUUUGUAAAUAAAUAAC
Molecule: non-coding RNA, 21 nt
Filed under: Caenorhabditis elegans
Lineage: Eukaryota; Metazoa; Nematoda; Chromadorea; Rhabditida; Rhabditidae
Source: RNAcentral